AUGCACGUCCAAGUACGAGCACUUGUACUGUGAAACUGCGAAUGGCUCAUUAAAUCAGUUAUCGUUUAUUUGAUUGUACCAUUGCUACAUGGAUAACUGUAGUAAUUCUAGAGCUAAUACAUGCGAAAAGUUCCGACUUCUGGAAGGAAUGUAUUUAUUAGAUUCAAAACCAGUGCGGGUUCACGCCCGGUACUUUGGUGAUUCACAAUGACUUAGCGAAUCGCAUGGCCUUUGCGCCGGCGAUGUUUCAUUCAAAUUUCUGCCCUAUCAACUGUCGAUGGUAAGGUAGUGGCUUACCAUGGUUGCAACGGGUGACGGAGAAUUAGGGUUCGAUUCCGGAGAGGGAGCCUGAGAAACGGCUACCAC
This 366-nucleotide ribosomal RNA is filed under the name Acanella arbuscula. RNAcentral describes it as "SSU rRNA". It matches the Rfam family "Eukaryotic small subunit ribosomal RNA", at positions 51 to 413 of the family's 1831-position model. The record is from RNAcentral. Lineage: Eukaryota; Metazoa; Cnidaria; Anthozoa; Scleralcyonacea; Keratoisididae.